RNAcentral lists this unclassified non-coding RNA (388 nucleotides) under Hevea brasiliensis (rubber tree). Lineage: Eukaryota; Viridiplantae; Streptophyta; Magnoliopsida; Malpighiales; Euphorbiaceae. The record is from RNAcentral.
GUGGCGGGAUUUUGUUCAAAGAUUAGCAAGACGGAAGACUGUUGGGAAGACGUAGCACAUAAAAUUGGUCUGGUUGUGAGUAGGGAAACAGAAGAAUGCAUGGACUUACUUGCGUUGAGUUAUAAACAUUUGCCGCUUCACUUGAAGACAUGCUUCCUGUAUAUGGGAGCUUUUCCAAAAGACUUUGAGAUAACUGUUUCAAAACUAAUGAAGCUAUGGAUUGCUGCGGAAUUCGUAAAACGCACACCUGAAAAGGACUUCGAAGAAGUUGCCCACGGGUACCUAAGAGAUCUUAUAGAUAGAAGUCUGAUUAUGGUUAAGAAAUUGACCUCAAGUGGCGAAGUAAAAACAUGCAAGGUUCAUGAUCUGUUGCAUGAUCUAAUCAUAC